ACAGUACAAACUGAUCAGGCCGAUGAAUGACUUUAUUUAUGGAGCCGGGCCGUAAAUGGCAACAGGAUUUUUAGGAAGCUACAAUACCUGUGGGACAGUU
This is a regulatory RNA element of Clostridium cadaveris, 100 nucleotides long. It matches the Rfam family "NiCo (Nickel/Cobalt) riboswitch aptamer". The record is from Rfam. NCBI's taxonomy places the organism in Bacteria, Bacillati, Bacillota, Clostridia, Eubacteriales, Clostridiaceae.